CGGUGAGGUGGGGUCGUGCUGCCCAACGGCGACGUGAUGCGGCGGGGCACAGAAAUAGGUGCGCGGUAGGACAAGGCGGUAGGGACGGGUCAUGUGUUCACUGGUGUCACUCGCGUUAGUUCUGUCACACCAGAAAUACGUCCUGUUUCUCACCGGUGUGUAAUGGAUGUGGGGCUUUCCUCACAGGGUGCGUCGCCUGCACGAGUUCUUUUGCAGAUGUACGUUCUGUAAAAUAAAAGCUGAAGGCAGCAGAGACACGCUGCAAGUGACAGGAUGGAUUGGUUGAUCUGCCUGGCUGAUUGCAGACAAACUGCACAUCAGAUCUCAUCUCUUCUUAGCGAAGGAAGAGCGAGCCCCUAAAAGAGCCGUGGCUGUGAUCCCUCUGCCCUCAGAGCCGGUGCUGCCCAUGGGGAACGUGCUCGAAAUCCCACCUGUGUUUCCAAACUGACGUUAAAUUACUGCAGACGUCUCAGUAUUUGCUGUGCACGGACAUAUCUUCUGUUGGAAAACAACACAUUGCGGUGAUGGAAAAUAACCUGAAUUCUUCCAUGCCGUUAACUGCAGGAGGUUUUCUACCCGAAGGGCCACGUCUGGCAGACAGGCUGGUGGGGCAGCACAGCCCAGUGCUGGGCUUUCAGGGCCGUGCACACAGCUGCUGGCUGGGGCUGAACCAGACGGAGCCAUGGCUGUAUGGCUGCGUGGCUGUUUGGCUGUGACUGUGUGACUGUCAGAUGGCUGUUCUGUACAGAAAGGGCUCUUCACCACAGCCUGUGCUCUGGGCUUUCUUCACACACUUUGCUGCACCUUGGGACGGGCCCCACGGUGGCUCUGAGCCUCACAACGGGCCCUGCUGCUGCCCCAUCCCCACGCCAGGCCCUGCAAGUCCACCACAGCAGCAAGCUGCACCAGGGCAGGUGACACCUAUAUGCAAAACAAUGACUGCUCCAGUUUUGAGUGGACUCUUCCCAGACAAGGUUGAUGGUCUGAUCCUAUUUCUGAUUUGAUAACAAGCCUUUUGGUUCACAUUCAUAAGAAGUGAGUGAUGAACACGACAAGCAGAACCAAGGGGGCCCUGCCUGCAGUCUUCAGGUAGAGGAGGACCGCCAGGUUUAUUGCACAGCCUCCUUUCCACAGGCUGGCACAUGAGAACUGCAGGAGUACAAGGCUCUGGUGGACAGCACACAGCAUACUGUAGUGCCAUCAAGCUAUAGAGGAGCGGAACUCUUCCUGGAGUAGUGAUGGAGGAUCCCAACAGCUAACUGUAUUGGAGGCUGAAGUGAGCCCAAUUGGGAAGGAGUGGCAAAACACCCCAUUGUGACCAACCCAGAGGCUCUGUGCAACGUUGGCAUAGAUCACCUCACAGGAAGACACCUCAAGGACUCAAACCAUGGCAUAGAUCACCUCACAAGAAGACACCUCAAGGACUCACUUGGUUUAACCUGACAGACAGCACGAUGAGAAAUCUGGCAAUGCCAGAGUGCCACUUGGGCACCAGCUGCUGCAGGCCUACAGCAGCAGACACUGCUCCAGAGGGCCAACAGGGCCACUGUCGCUGCUGCGAGGAGCUUGGCACAGAAGAACAUCCCUGGAGCAGCGAGCUAAGUGCACUGAGAUGUUUGAAGAUGUCCUCAGCCAUCUUCAGCCUGAAGCACCACUGAGACCCGCAGCUGCUGCAGAACACAAUGAAGCUACCAGAGAUGCUAAUGGAGGAGCUGAAGGGUUCAUAGGCAGAAAGCAAGGGGUGUGCUGUGGAGCCUACAACCAUGGAUUGCAGGAGUGCGUUUCUUAAAGCCAACAGAAUGGCAUCUUUUUUGAUGGGAAUAUAACAGUGGGACUUCAAAGCAUGACCAGCGCCCAGCGUUCAAAACAGCAUGCGAGCAGGAUACAACUUCAAGGGGGAGGAGAAACAAAGAGGACACCUGGGUUUGGGGUGCUGGGCCUCUGCGCCAUGCACCAAGAGCCAC
This 1964-nucleotide long non-coding RNA is filed under the name Gallus gallus (chicken). RNAcentral's name for it is "lncRNA (ENSGALG00010006579.1)". The record is from RNAcentral. Lineage: Eukaryota; Metazoa; Chordata; Aves; Galliformes; Phasianidae.